Molecule: ribosomal RNA, 514 nt
Filed under: uncultured bacterium
Lineage: Bacteria
Description: bacterial SSU rRNA
Rfam family: Bacterial small subunit ribosomal RNA
Source: RNAcentral
ACGAACGCUGGCGGCGUGCCUAAUACAUGCAAGUUGAACGCUUGCGACUGGUACUUGUACUAGACGCAAGAGUAGCGAACGGGUGAGUAACGCGUGGGUAACCUACCUCUUAGCGGGGGACAACUAUUGGAAACGAUAGCUAAUACCGCAUAAUAAUUUUUAACACAUGUUAGGAAUUUGAAAGUACCAACUGGUACACUAAGAGAUGGACCCGCGUUGUAUUAGCUAGUUGGUAGUGUAAUGGACUACCAAGGCGAUGAUACAUAGCCGACCUGAGAGGGUGAUCGGCCACAUUGGGACUGAGACACGGCCCAAACUCCUACGGGAGGCAGCAGUAGGGAAUCUUCGGCAAUGGACGAAAGUCUGACCGAGCAACGCCGCGUGAGUGAAGAAGGCUUUCGGGUCGUAAAGCACUGUUGUAUGGGAAGAACGGGUUUAAGAGGAAAUGCUUAAGCAGUGACGGUACCAUACCAGAAAGGGACGGCUAAAUACGUGCCAGCAGCCGCAGUAAAAC